Quercus lobata is the source of this 545-nucleotide long non-coding RNA. RefSeq lists it as uncharacterized. The transcript has 3 exons. Lineage: Eukaryota; Viridiplantae; Streptophyta; Magnoliopsida; Fagales; Fagaceae. The record is from RefSeq and is a predicted model, not a curated record.
CGCUCCUCACUUCUCAUAUCCUUUCUACCUGGUACUUCCACACCACCACCACAACCAUUUUUCACCAUCAUUUUCCGGCACGAUCACCGGAAAAUUCUUGUGAACCCAUAAGCACCUUCACAUCUUUUAUUUGAGGUUCUAGCUAAUCUCCUUGGAGCUUGGAAAAUUAGGAUUUUGCAGUUGCGAGAAUCAAAUCCAGUUCAGUGCCUUUUCACUUUGGAUGACGCGUUCUUCCCUGCUAUCCAUGGGGGGAAGAGGUUCCUUAAUUGUGUAUGGGUGAGGCUGCUGCCCAUGGGGCCAAGAGACCACAUGCAAGAGAGGUCCUAUUUGACGCGCUCUCUUUGUUGCCCAUGGGGGGAGAGAAAAACCUUGAGGGUAUGGGUGAGGCUGCGAUCUAUAGGGCCAAGAGUCUGCAUACCAGAGAGGACAAUAUGAUGCCAGUUGUGAAUCGGUGGAUCCCCUUACCGGUUUAUGUGGUAGUAUGGUAUAUUUAUGAUAAAUUACCGUAUGUUAGAUUUUAUGACUUUGGAAAUUAUAUUGUUAAU